RNAcentral lists this ribosomal RNA (489 nucleotides) under Triticum aestivum (bread wheat). Its description in RNAcentral is "partial small subunit ribosomal RNA". Lineage: Eukaryota; Viridiplantae; Streptophyta; Magnoliopsida; Poales; Poaceae. The record is from RNAcentral.
AUGUUUUCUGUGAAGCUCAAUGGAGGCUUAUCUCAUAGUUUCAACCCAUCCAGAGGAUUGAGACAGGGAGAUCCCCUCUCCCCGUACCUCUUUCUCUUCUGUGUGGAGGGGUUUUCGGCUCUUCUAAAGAAGGCGCAAGAGGAGGCUGUUAUCAAGGGGGUGUCGUUCGGGUCAAACGGGCCAAGUGUGACCCAUUUAUUGUUUUCCGACGACAGCGUGGUUUUUGUGGAAGGUUCUAAGGAAAACUUCGAGGCACUCCGGACCAUAUUGCAGCAGUACGAAGGUGCUUCAGGCCAGAAAGUAAAUUUCCACAAGUCUGCUGUUUUCUACGGGAAAGGAACAGAAGAUACUACCAAAUAAGAGCUAAAACAAUGUUUGGGCAUAAAAGAGGAGGCCUUGAGUGAGAGGUACCUGGGACUACCUACGGUGGUAGGGAGCUCCAAAGAUGGAACUUUUAAAUAUGUAAAGGAGAGAGCAAGAGGGAAAGUC